Molecule: long non-coding RNA, 1110 nt
Filed under: Homo sapiens (human)
Lineage: Eukaryota; Metazoa; Chordata; Mammalia; Primates; Hominidae
Description: HSALNT0369443
Source: RNAcentral
AAACUCGAUUAUUGCGUAAUAGGGGUAAAAAUAAAUAAGCUUAUUUGAGAAAUAUUAAGAAUGGGGCCACAGUUUGGGUUUUAGCAACUGAUUGGAAAGUGAUGCCAUUCACAUUGGACACGUUUAAAUUUGAGACGCUAGUGGAACAACCAUGUAUAGACACCUACUCGGCAAUCCUGCAUAUGAUCUCAACAUCAGAAGAGAGAUGUGGGCUGAUGACACAGAACUGAGAAUAGCCAGCGUUGCCACUGGGAGUAACCAUCACAUAUGUGGCAAAAAAGGCCAUUGGCGCAGAUAUAAUCACCCAGGCGGGAUGUGUAAAAUGGAAAAAGAAGGCAACCUAGAAGCAGGAUUCAACGUAUCAGAUACAGUAAUGAAGACAAUAAGAAAUUGGAUUGAUCCAGGUCUGGAGUUUUGCCACAGAGUGAAAUGGAACAACAAUAUGCAGGAGAAGUGAGGAUACUGAAUUCUACUUGAAAAUUAUACAGAAACAAUUUCUUAGAAUGCUCACAAAAGACCUGAAAACAUGGGGAGGAAGCAGGGCAUUUACAGAUGCAGUCUUGCUCUGUUGCCAGGCUGGAGUGCAGUGGCGUGAUCUCGGCUCACUGCAACCUCCGUCUCCCAGGCUCAAGCAGUUCUCCUGCCUCAGCUUCCUGAGUAGCUGGGACUACAGCUUAUAACUCAUGCAAAACAACAUGCUGCAAUGUUCUGAUGAAAUGCUCCUCUACAGUCGAGGCUCCCAGAAGGCAGAGAGCAUAUUCAUUAACUCAUUCUGCUCAACACUUAGCUCAUGUCCAUGGAGAGAUGUUGAAUAUGAGCUCCUAUUAAAAAGAGGGAAUACAAUCAAUCAUUUGAGAAUGUCCAAAAAGAACUUUUCCUUUCCAUCGAGCCUUACAAAUUAUUCUAAGAUUGUUUCUGUAAAUACCAUGUAAUUGGGAGAGAUACACAGGGAGCGUCAAUUGUGUCUGUAAUGUUUUACUGCUUAUGAUAAAAAGAUCUGAAACUAAUGUGACAAAAUACUAAGAUUUCACAGAAUUCAGUGUUGAGUGUCCUCUAAGUUAUUAUCUUUAUUCUUCAAAUAUUUCAUAAGGAAAAAGAUGGUGGGAACUU